GUCAACCCAAUGAUCAAAAUCAAUUCGAGCGUUCUGCCUUUGACACGGUGAAAGAAAGAAGUCAACUCAAUGAUCAGAAUCAAUUCGAGUAUUCUGCCUUUGGUUCUGCCUUUAACACGGUGAGGGAAAAAAGUCAACCCAAUGAUCAGAAUCAAUUCGAGCGUUCUUCCUUUGACACGGUGAGGGAAAGAAGUCAACCCAAUGAUCAGAAUCAAUUCGAGAAUUCUGCCUUUGGUUCUGCCUUUAACACGGUGAGGGAAAGAAGUCAACCCAAUGAUCAGAAUCAAUUCGAGCGUUCUGCCUUUGACACGGUGAGAGAAAAAAGUCAACCCAACGAUCAGAAUCAAUUCGAGAGUUCUGCCUUUGACACGGUGAGGGAAAGAAGUCAACCCAAUGAUCAGAAUCAAUUCAAGCGUUCUGCCUUUGGUUCUGCUUUUAACACAGUGAGGGGAAAAAGUCAACUCAAUGAUCAGAAUCAAUUCGAGCGUUCUGUCUUUGACACGGUGAGGGAAUCAAGUUUGUAUCAACCUAAUGAUCAGAAUCAAUUUGAGCGUUCUGCCUUUGGCACGGUGAGGGAAUCAAGUAUGUAUCAGC
This 594-nucleotide long non-coding RNA is filed under the name Zostera marina. RNAcentral describes it as "long non-coding RNA (ZMAR_LNC001269)". Lineage: Eukaryota; Viridiplantae; Streptophyta; Magnoliopsida; Alismatales; Zosteraceae. The record is from RNAcentral.